UUACUAUUUAUUUUCUAUUUGGACUAUUAGUUAUAUUGUAUUUGGAUUAUUAUUUAUAUUUCUGUUAUUGGGCUUGUUUAGCGGGUUUGGCCCAAGCCCUUCUCUUUAGGAUUUUUAUUUUGUUAUUUAUUUCUGUUUUGUUGCGUAUUUGAGACAGUUGAUGAAUUGAUGAAUUAAAGAAUAGAAUGCUUGGGUUAUUGCC
This 202-nucleotide long non-coding RNA is filed under the name Olea europaea (common olive). RNAcentral describes it as "long non-coding RNA (OEUR_LNC008922)". Lineage: Eukaryota; Viridiplantae; Streptophyta; Magnoliopsida; Lamiales; Oleaceae. The record is from RNAcentral.